RNAcentral lists this long non-coding RNA (4978 nucleotides) under Nicotiana benthamiana. Its description in RNAcentral is "long non-coding RNA (NBEN_LNC015462)". Lineage: Eukaryota; Viridiplantae; Streptophyta; Magnoliopsida; Solanales; Solanaceae. The record is from RNAcentral.
CUGGAUUUCCAAUACUUGGGUUUUUGCUGCAGUCAGUUCCACCUGAGCAGUUAAAUAUGGACACACUGUCUGCUUUAAAACAUUUGUUUAAUGUGGUUGCAAAUGGUGGUAUGUCGCACAAGCUACUUGUGUGUUCUUUUUUGUUGUCUUUGAGUUCAUUAAUUACUUAAUCUCCAACUUUCAGUUUGACGCAGUUUGCCAAAUCUUUGGUUAUGUAUCUCUCUUUAAUUUAUUGCCAGGUUUGUCAGAAAUGCUAGUCAAGGAUGCUAUAUCCCAUAUAUUUCUCAAUCCUGUUGUAUGGGUCUACUCAGUUUACAGAGUUCAACGUGAACUGUAUAUGUUUCUCAUCCAGCAAUUCGAUAAUGAUCCAAGGUUGCUGAGAUGUUUAUGUAGGCUCCCCCGUGUUCUUGACAUAAUUCGACAAUUUUACUGGGAUGAUGUCAAAACUCGUUUUGCUAUUGGAUGUUUAUGUAGGCUCCCCCAAUUUUACUGGGAUGAUGUCAAAACUCGUUUUGCUAUUGGAAGGAAGCCUCUUUUACAUCCCGUGACAAAGCAAGUUAUAGGGGAGAGACCUAGUAAAGAUGAAAUACAUAAAAUUCGUCUCCUUCUAUUGAGUCUCGGUGAGAUGAGUCUCAGGUAGUUUUCUUUUUCUUAGAAAGGAUAUAAUUUUUCUUCUUUUGACUGUUGUAGUGACUGAGUUUUCUUCUUUACUAUGUAAGCUUUCUAGCUCCUGUUCAGCUUUCAUAUUUUUUUUUUUCAGAAAUAGAACUAUUUCUUUUUAUCCACCACCGUUUGAAGAUGUUUUCCUACCAUUUUUUUUAUGCAGGCAGCAUAUUUCAGCAUCAGAUAUAAAAUCUCUCAUAGCCUUUUUUGAAAGUAGCCAGGACAUGGCAUGCAUUGAAGAUGUUCUGCAUAUGGUUAUUCGGGCUGUUUCUCAGAAACAACUGCUUGCAUCUUUCCUUGAACAAGUCAAUAUGAUUGGUGGUUGUCACAUAUUUGUAAAUCUUCUUGAAAGGUACGACCACUAACUGUAGAAACACAUAUUCCAGUUAUCAUAAUUGUCAUAAAUUUUAUUGAAAGGUAUGACAUCAAAUUGUAGAAAUAGUUGAUAUUAUUAAUGUCAAAUAGUUGAUAUUUAUUUUUGAAGAUAUCCCUUGAAGUCACUAUCUGUUGAGAGAGAGAAUCUGCAGGUAGUUUUCUCUUUUUUACCUCAUGGUUAAAGCUGAUUUUCUAUUACCUAUCUCUGAUAUUGCUCUUAUACAUACCUCUUGUUUCUCUUGACACUGAUUCUCAUACAGUCUGUUGCAACCUUCUUUAGUCAUGUUAUAUCUGCAAUAGGAAGAAACACAGCUGGUCCAGGUUAGUUUAACUCCUUUGUCAUAUAAGUACAACUAAAUUUACCUUUCAGAUGCUCAGAGUAUUGUUGAAAAUUUUCAGGGGAUGCUGUUGUCAAUGUCUAUAUAAACUAUGAAAAGAAGUUUGUUUUUGUUGAAAUGAGAUCAGUAGAGGAAGCUAGUAAUGCCAUGGCAUUGGAUGGCAUCAUAUUUGAGGUACCUAAAAUGUGUAAUAGCUGAUCAGUUAGCUACGAUUUAAAGAAGAUAGAAUUUUUACAUUAGAUGGCAUCAUAUUUGAGGUACCUAAAAUGCAUAAUAGCUGAUCAGCUAGUUACGAUUUAAAGAAGAUAGAUUUUUUACCUCUUGUGUAGGUGGUUUAUCCAUUUGACAGAAAGCAAGGUGUAGCAAAUUAUAGUUUUAGAAAGCAACUAGCUGAUCCCACAUAAUUUGAAUUUGUAAUGUUGUCACUAUGGUUAUUUUUUUAUGAGAUUUGAUUUGUUGCGGUGGAAAUAAACUGCCAUUAUUUUUUUAAAUAUUAAUAUCAUAUUGCGGUGGUUAUAAACCCCCACAUAUUUUUUUUUAUAUAUUUGAGUGAUAUCGUAGGGGUUUAAAAACACUCUCAAUUUUUUUUGAACCAUUAUAAUCAUAGGGGUUUAUAAACCACCACAGUAUUUUUUUUUUGACAUCUUGAAAUCAUAUUACGGGGAUUCUAAGCUGCCACUAAUUAUCUUCAAGAACUCCCACAAGUUCAAAAUUCAUUUUGUGGCGUUUUAUAAACCCUCGCAAUAUUUUUUUUCUUUGGCACAUCAAAAUCAUAUUGCGAGAGUUUUAGACUAGCAUUAAUUAUCUUUUAAACCCCUACAAAUUAAAAAUACAUUUUGUGGCGGUUGUCAUGGAGGUUUUAAAAAUCCGCCACAAUAAUGCUUGUGGCAAAGGUAACUGCGGCACUUCUAGAAACCGUCACAAUUCUAUUUGUGCCAGUCAAAAACUGUCACAAUUUGACCAAAAAACUCCUACAAAAUACUUGUCUUCUUGUAGUGCCUUGUUCACUGCUUUCCUCCCCAUCUCUCUUGUAUUUCUUCUUCUAUUUCUUCUCUUUCGCUCUCCUAGUGUAGCAAAAGUUCUUGCAGAUUUUGCAAAAGAAUCAGUGGGAUGAAAAGAUAAGGUUGAUCUCAUAUCACAGAAAAUCAGAAGCAAAUACUAAGAGAGAAAAAAUACAUUUCAACUUUAUUUUUCUUCUCUGUUUUUUGUUGGUUGGAUUGAAUGAGCUGGUAUGAUUGAAAUUGGUUGAAAAUAUCUAAACUAGCAUAUGUACAAGAUUUGAGCAAGAUUAGAAGCGAUUUAGACUUGUUUUAGGUUAAAAAUCAGGCCUAAAAAUCUACUACGACAUGUAUACAUCAUGUUGUAUAUCGUGUACAUUAAUGUAUAUCACACAUAGGUUUUUAAGGACGUCUGUAUAUAUCACUUUGUAUGUCGUAUAUAUAACAUAAUUUUUUUACGGACGCCCAUGUAUAUCAUAUUGUAUAACAUAUAUAUAAUAUAAAUUUUUAUGGAUAUAUGCAGAUACGCAUGAUAUACAUGAGAUAUACUGAUGUACAUAGAGAUAUAUACGGAAUAUAAUUACCAAAAAAGAAGAAGAUCUACACGGGAUACAAUAGGGGAUACACAUGUGGAGUCGUCUUGAACUUGAGUUUUAAUCUGAAAUGUGUUAUACAAAGAAGGAAAAUAAAAUUUUAAUAUUUAUUUGACAUUAUUAUUAUUAUUAUUAUUAUUAUUAUUAUUAUUAUUAUUAUUAUUAUUAUUAUUAUAUACUCUGUGAUAUAUGUCACACCCCUUUUUUGAACAGAACCUCUACUAAACCCUCUUAAAAUAAAUAAAAGAGAUUUAGCAUGGCUUGAAAAGGGUUUUUAAUUUUGAAAGUGACAAAAAUUUGUUCAAAAGGAAAUAACUCAGAGUCGCCACCUGGCACUUGAUUUCGAUGUGCCAGGUCACCAUUUUUUUUUCACAACAUAAUUUUCCUUUUAAAACUCUUAGGACUCCAAAGUAAGUCUGCACCAGAAAUUCGGGUAAGGGGAUUCAUUUGACUCGGGGAGAAGGUGUUAGGCACUCCCCAAGACCUGUGAAAGUCACGGUUAUGUACUUGAUCUAGUUUGCUUUUAAAAUAUUUAAUUGAGGUAACAAACAUAGAAAAGGAAAAAUAAACACAGAAGAGGCUCAAGGUCGUCCCUUCCUAAAAGAACAAAAUAAAUAAAAUAUAGUAAGUCUUCAUAGCUUAUACUACGCCUUCAUUGAUGAUGCCAAGAUUCCAUUUACAUUUACUUCGGGGCAUUCCCCGGGUUAACAUAUUUACAAAGUCCACGGAGCAUUCCCUGGAUGAAUUAUCUAAGGGACAACCUCUCACCUCGAAACCAAAAGCAAAUGAAAAUCCUAAAGCUUGCCUAUCUGAGUGUUGCCGGCCUAAAACAUACUCCUAACGAUCCAAACACACCGUAUGCAUGAAUUAAUAACUAAAAGAAGUGUAUUCUAAAUUGAAGUAUGAUUGAAAUUAUCCUCCUGCCGGCAUGGAAGCUCAUUUUAUUUUGUACUUCCUUCUUUUAAAUUUCUAGCCUACUAUUACAUAACUCAUUCAUCUACUUAUGUAUCUAAUUAAAAUUAAAAGAUCCUACUGUGUUCACUUGAACCAUUUAGCCUAUUCAAAAAUAUGAAAUCAACAGGUAUAAAAAGAUAACAUAGACCUUCGGGUAUAAAAGCAGUUCAAGCAUUAAGAGUAAUUAAAGCAAACAUAGAAUUAGAAACUUUGCUAAGAUGAUCAAUUAAAGAAAUAUCAAAUCAUAUAGAAGAAGCAGAGAUGAAGGGAGAACCUGAAUUGAAGGAUUUGUUUUACUAUUUUAAAACCCAACGACGAGCGGAACCGGAAUCGAAAGAUGCUUGCCGGAACUCGACGAACCUCGGACCUCAGACGACACUCCGAAUCAAGCUGAAAUAGCAGUCGGAUUCAAACAGACUCUGUUGUUUGAAGCAAAAAAAAAUGAACGAAGAAACUGAAAUGUUUUCUGUCUUCCUCAUUUUCUACUUGUGCUUGCAUGUGUGUGUUCCCGUGUAUUUAUGUGCACAUGUGUGUAACUGAUAGUUUUAGAGAGAUAAAAUUGGGGCGCCUGGAUGGUGAUGAUAGCUGUUGGUGGUUACCGAAGGGUCUGUCGGUUUGAUGGUGUGAAGAAGAUGAAGAACGGCGCUGGAGUGAGUUCUUUUGUUGAUGAAGAUGGCUGCUUAGGGGUGAGGGUGUUAAUGCGACUGUUGUUGGUUGUUUGUGUAUGGAGGUGGUUGAAUUCCGGUGUGACGGCCCGAGAUAGGCGGCUGGAGAUGGCGAAGAUGACUGGCGCCUGGAAGCGGCGGCUAUGGCAGUGAGAGUGGGUCUCGCGGCGGCGACUUAGGGUGUAACUUGUCUAGGUUUCGGCCUAGGGUUUUGUUGUUGUUGAAGGUUGAAGAAGAUAGGGCAGCCAUGGUUCUUGUGUCUCAGGUUUCUUGUUAAGUUUCCCUAGGUUUUUUUAAAAUAAAAUCUGAUGGGUUCUUUUUGUUAGGGGUAUGGACUUAUGGGUUAGAGAAGAGAAAUAAUUGGGCCUUAGUAUUGGGCUAAGAGAAAUAAA